RNAcentral lists this transfer RNA (67 nucleotides) under Propsilocerus sinicus. RNAcentral's name for it is "tRNA-Cys". The record is from RNAcentral. Lineage: Eukaryota; Metazoa; Arthropoda; Insecta; Diptera; Chironomidae.
GGCUUUAUAUUCAUAAAUGAUAUUAGACUGCAAUUCUAAAGGAGUAAAUAUAUUUUUACUAAAGCUU